RNAcentral lists this ribosomal RNA (229 nucleotides) under uncultured bacterium. RNAcentral's name for it is "partial 16S ribosomal RNA". It matches the Rfam family "Bacterial small subunit ribosomal RNA", at positions 568 to 796 of the family's 1533-position model. The record is from RNAcentral.
UCCGUAAGUGGAUCAAUCAGUCAGAGGUGAAAUCCUGCAGCUUAACUGUAGAACUGCCUUUGAUACUGUUGAUCUUGGGUCAUUAUGAAGUGGUUAGAAUGUGUAGUGUAGCGGUGAAAUGCAUAGAUAUUACACAGAAUACCGAUUGCGAAGGCAGAUCACUAAUGAUGUACUGACACUGAGGGACGAAAGCGUGGGGAGCGAACAGGAUUAGAUACCCUGGUAGUCC